GCAUCGGGGUUGGUGGAAAGCUCCGGCGGUUUGGGAUGGGCCCGCGGCCUAUCCUCUUGUUGGUGGGGUAAUGGCCUACCAAGGAGACGACGGGUAGCCGGCCUGAGAGGGCGACCGGCCCCACUGGGACUGAGACACGGCCCAGACUCCUUCGGGAGGCAGCAGUGGGGAAUAUUGCACAAUGGGCGCAAGCCUGAUGCAGCGACGCCGCGUGAGGGAUGACGGCCUUCGGGUUGUAAACCUCUUUCACCAGGGACGAAGCGUGAGUGACGGUACCUGGAGAAGAAGC
This 289-nucleotide ribosomal RNA is filed under the name uncultured bacterium. Its description in RNAcentral is "partial 16S ribosomal RNA". It matches the Rfam family "Bacterial small subunit ribosomal RNA", at positions 188 to 491 of the family's 1533-position model. The record is from RNAcentral.